AUAUUACCAUUGUGUAUGUACCUUCUUUAAAGUAGGUUUCAUUCAUAUUCUCAUCUUUCUCUAAAUCCACAGAGCCCUGUUUCUCAUUCGUUUCUCCGAUCAUUGUGAACAAAUUUUAGUUUCAUUUAUUCAGGUUUUUCUUUUUUGUUUUCAAUUAAAUCUUCAAGUAUGCUCCCAUUUUCAAUCUAUUCACUGUAGUCUUGCUCUAACUUCAUUCGUUUCAUGAGCUGAGCUGAGCAUUCUUGUUUGUCUCUUGAGCUCUUCUUCCAUUCACGUGAAAUUCAGACAUUCUUUUGUCGUCUUGUGCAUUUCAGUUGUCUGUAUUUGGAUUCUCCAAGAUGGGUUUCUUUUUUUUUAACCCAAUUGAUUGAUUGCUUCAAACCGAUGGUUACUUGGGGAAGAUAAUUUUGUAGCUUUCUUUCUAUUUAUGCUUAGUGGAGGGAGGUGGGGGGUUUCUGGGGAUUAUGCUGAUUGGUUUGAUGGCUCUUAAUGUAACCUAGAUUUUGUUUGUUAAUGAUGAUUUGGAAACUAUGAUAUGAGUUGGGUUUGUUGGGGUUGAAGAAGUUUUCAAGAAAGAAGAUGGUGUUUUGCCUGUUUAUUCAGGUGGGUUUCUUUUGAGAACUCAUAAGCUUUGAUCUUUCUGUAUUAUGGAGUCUUGGAAUUAUGGUUCUCAAGGGAAGGGAUUUCUGUCUGAUGAGAUGAAUUCAUCUACUAAUUCACCUCUGAGAAGUAAAUAUUCUUUGUUGGGUUGGGAAUUCAAGAACCCAUGUAGUUUUGGGGACAACAUGCUUCUUACAAGUGGUGCUCAGCAUGUGGAGAAUCAGAGCUUUGGGGAACUGGAAUUUCCCCAAAUGGUUGGAAAACAAUUACCUGAUGAUUCUGUCAGUGGUGUCUUGAAUACUAAAACUGAUGGAGGGAGAAACUUGAAUCUGGUUUUGCCCACCUCUCAUCCACUUCAUGGAGAAGAAGAGUCCACUUCAAAGCUCUCUGGCUCCAUUGUUGACUCUAACAAUCGAGAUUCAUCUCUUAUUGAUUUGAAGCUAGGCAGAUUUAUUGAUCAAGGGGAUGCUCACAGUUCCAAAUACUCCAAGAGAGCUGCAAUUUCAUCUUCCACUGAAUCAUCGACUUCUCAGAAGAAAAUGCGAUCUCAAGGGGUGAAUUUCCAGACUGCGUUUUGCCAAGUCUAUGGUUGUAACAAAGAUCUCAGUUCCUCUAAAGACUACCACAAGAGGCAUAAAGUUUGUGAGGUUCAUUCAAAGACUGCCAAAGUUAUUGUGAAUGGCAUAGAACAGAGGUUUUGUCAGCAAUGCAGCAGGUUUCAUUUGCUUGUUGAAUUUGAUGAUGGUAAACGCAGCUGUCGAAAACGGCUUGCAGGCCAUAAUGAGCGAAGAAGAAAGCCUCAAGUCAGUUUUCACUCAGGCAGGGCACAGAGGUUGCUUCAGCCUUAUAAUGGUAUUGGAGACAGCAGAUUUCAGGAGAAAACGUUGACUGCAACUUCAUUUAUCUGCAAAGAUAUACUGUCUAGUGGUCUGUAUUAUCCAGAGAAGCUUGGAGAAAACGAUUGGUGUAAGCGUGUAAAAGUUGAGGGGAAGAGUGAUUAUAAUUCUAUAUCUGCAACUUCACUGAGCAACAGGCAUCUGAAUGUGAAAUCUCCCUUGCUUCCCUAUGAUUUCGAAGUGCAGAUUCCUCCUUUCCAAGAAAAUGGAACUAGUACAGCACCUACAGUAAACAUGCUAAGUGAGACAACUUGCCAAUAUUCACAUAAUGUGGGAGGUCCCCAUAUUGAUACACAUCCUUUGUUCCACCAAACUACCUUAUCAAGCGAAGACUUUGGAGUUUAUGAUGCAGCAUCAACCAUCCAAGGACUUUCUGGAAUUCCGGACUCUGGUUGUGCUCUCUCUCUUCUGUCAUCUCAAUCACAAAGUGCAUCGAACCAUCCAUCCAUAGUUCACAUUCCUCGUGCUUUCAUCAUGUCCGAGAGUCAAUCAAAUUAUAGCAUGAGUGAACUCUCCGAAAAGCUCAUGGGAGUGAGCCCACAAGCUUCUUCAACUGGGAUUACGAGUAAAUUUGCCUCGGGGAUGAGUGAAGCUCAAAUGGGUUCCAUACCGACUUGUGGAAGUAGUGAUCGUACUGUCACCUUUCAGAUUCCUGGUAGAGUUCUUCAUAGAUCAGGUUUGGCAAAUCCUAAAGCUAACAUUUCCUAUGAACGCACUCCAACUAUUGACUUGCUUCAACUUUCAUCACAACUCCAGCGAGUGGAACAUCAGAGGCACUCCAUGCAGGAUCAAUGAGAUCGAAAAGUAGGAGCCCAAAUUAAAAGUAAUCUAGAAAGUACUUGUUUUUUCUUCUUAGCCAGACAAGAAAACCGGUUCCAUCAGUAUUAGUGGAAGAACGCUACAACAAAUUUGCUAAGGACUCUGCAUAGGAGACUUCGUGAAGGCUAGUGAGAAGUUGAAGCUUGAACCCAUCACACCUAUGCCAAUGGUACAUUUUGUUAGCCAAGGAGAGAAUAAAUUGUUGUAUAAUCUUCCUAUCUAGUACCUCUAACCUUGUCUUCUUUUCUGAUUCUGUUGUUGUUUCUAAAAUACCAAUGUUUUUAUCUUGGGACUAGCUUGUCGAAUCCCAAAAAUUUUUCGUCGUAAAAUUUAGUUUAUACGGUUGUAGUCCUCAGAGAUUCGCCCUUUGAUUAAGAUGCUACACUUGUGCUUAAUGUCUCAUUGCAUAUGCCUACAGUUGAAGUUUUUCCUUACAAUA
Molecule: RNA transcript, 2754 nt
Organism: Cucumis sativus (cucumber)
Lineage: Eukaryota; Viridiplantae; Streptophyta; Magnoliopsida; Cucurbitales; Cucurbitaceae
Gene name: squamosa promoter-binding-like protein 6
Exons: 5
Source: RefSeq, a predicted model, not a curated record